Molecule: ribosomal RNA, 484 nt
Filed under: uncultured bacterium
Lineage: Bacteria
Description: partial 16S ribosomal RNA
Rfam family: Bacterial small subunit ribosomal RNA
Source: RNAcentral
AUUGAACGCUGGCGGCAGGCCUAACACAUGCAAGUCGAGCGGAUGAAGGGAGCUUGCUCCUGGAUUCAGCGGCGGACGGGUGAGUAAUGCCUAGGAAUCUGCCUGGUAGUGGGGGAUAACGUCCGGAAACGGGCGCUAAUACCGCAUACGUCCUGAGGGUGAAAGUGGGGGAUCUUCGGACCUCUCGCUAUCAGAUGAGCCUAGGUCGGAUUAGCUAGUUGGUGGGGUAAAGGCCUACCAAGGCGACGAUCCGUAACUGGUCUGAGAGGAUGAUCAGUCACACUGGAACUGAGACACGGUCCAGACUCCUACGGGAGGCAGCAGUGGGGAAUAUUGGACAAUGGGCGAAAGCCUGAUCCAGCCAUGCCGCGUGUGUGAAGAAGGUCUUCGGAUUGUAAAGCACUUUAAGUUGGGAGGAAGGGCAGUAAGUUAAUACCUUGCUGUUUUGACGUUACCAACAGAAUAAGCACCGGCUAACUUCGUG